RNAcentral lists this ribosomal RNA (274 nucleotides) under uncultured bacterium. RNAcentral's name for it is "partial 16S ribosomal RNA". It matches the Rfam family "Bacterial small subunit ribosomal RNA", at positions 523 to 796 of the family's 1533-position model. The record is from RNAcentral.
AUACGGAGGGUGCAAGCGUUAAUCGGAAUUACUGGGCGUAAAGCGUACGUAGGCGGUUAUUUAAGUCAGAUGUGAAAGCCCCGGGCUUAACUUGGGAACUGCAUUUGAAACUGGGUAACUAGAGUUUAGUAGAGGGGAGUGGAAUUUCAGGUGUAGCGGUGAAAUGCGUAGAGAUCUGAAGGAACACCAGUGGCGAAGGCGACUCCCUGGACUUGAACUGACGCUGAGGUACGAAAGCGUGGGUAGCAAACGGGAUUAGAAACCCUAGUAGUCC